RNAcentral lists this ribosomal RNA (506 nucleotides) under uncultured bacterium. RNAcentral describes it as "bacterial SSU rRNA". It matches the Rfam family "Bacterial small subunit ribosomal RNA", at positions 23 to 518 of the family's 1533-position model. The record is from RNAcentral.
CUCAGGAUGAACGCUAGCGACAGGCUUAACACAUGCAAGUCGAGGGGCAUCACGGGAGUAGCAAUACAACUGGUGGCGACCGGCGCACGGGUGAGUAACGCGUAUGCAACCUACCUAUCAGGAGGGGAAUAACCCGGCGAAAGUCGGACUAAUACCGCAUAAAACAGGGGCACCGCAUGGUGAUAUUUGUUAAAGAAAUUCGCUGAUAGAUGGGCAUGCGUUCCAUUAGGUAGUCGGUGAGGUAACGGCUCACCAAGCCGACGAUGGAUAGGGGAACUGAGAGGUUGGUCCCCCACACUGGUACCGAGACACGGACCAGACUCCUACGGGAGGCAGCAGUGAGGAAUAUUGGUCAAUGGGCGGGAGCCUGAACCAGCCAAGUCGCCGUGAAGGAAGAAGGAUCUAUGGUUCGUAAACUUCUUUUGCAGGGGAAUAAAGUGCAGGACGUGUCCUGUUUUGUAUGUACCCUGAGAAUAAGGAUCGGCUAACUCCGUGCCAGCCGCAGC